RNAcentral lists this unclassified non-coding RNA (257 nucleotides) under Hevea brasiliensis (rubber tree). The record is from RNAcentral. Lineage: Eukaryota; Viridiplantae; Streptophyta; Magnoliopsida; Malpighiales; Euphorbiaceae.
UUGGUGAAGAUUCAAAAGCUGAGAGUCCAGGGGAAGAUGGAAGUGAUGGCAAAGACAAAUCAGCCAAGAAAAAAUGGUUCAAUUUGAACCUUAAAGGAUCAGAUAAAAAGCUUGGUUGAAAAAAGAUGUUUGGGUGAUUUUAUACUAUUUGGGAAGUUUGAUUGCGUAUUUAAAUUCUAGGGCCACAGAUUUGUUGCAUGCAAAGUUUGUCUUGUAUUAUUUAUUCUAUUUUUUUUUUCUCAUUAGGUUUUUUUCCG